Molecule: long non-coding RNA, 1365 nt
Organism: Alosa sapidissima (American shad)
Lineage: Eukaryota; Metazoa; Chordata; Actinopteri; Clupeiformes; Clupeidae
Exons: 2
Source: RefSeq, a predicted model, not a curated record
UGUGUGUGUGUGUGUGUGUGUGUAUGUGUGUGUGGGUGUGUGUGUGUGUACAUGUGUGUGUGUGUGUGUGUGUGUGUGUGUGUGCGUUCUCUUCUCUUGCUCUGCGUUCCUUUGUCACUCCAGAUGGUGUAAACUCCUCCCCUGGUUCUGUCGGACCUGUCGGGCCCCUGGUUCUGUCGGUUCUGUCGGGCCCCUGGUUCUGUAGGUUCUGUCGGCCCCCUGGUUCUGACCCAGCUCUGGGGCUCAGGGGUGAAGAGUGUUUCUGUUGUCUCUGUAUCUGUAUGUGUCCAUAUGACCAAUUAUUACUACUAAUAAUGACUCUACGGCUGCAAUGCUAAUAUGGUAAUGCUCCUUCAUUUGAUGCCAAUGUUUACAGGGACAGUGUUUAUGGUUUCUCACACUAACGUGCAUCCUUUCUAUUUAUAGUUUCGUAUGACUUUGUUUUUGUUUUUACCUUUUAAGGUGAUUACUUGUUUAUUUUCAUGAUUUAACUCUCAGUCGUGACCCACUCACAGCUAGCUUGAGGGAGACACACACAGCAGCUUGCUUCUAACACAUUUGCUAGCACAGCUAGGCUAUAUUGACCCAUGCUAAUAUGUUUGCCAGCACAGCUAGGCUAUAUCGACCCAUGCUAAUAUGUUUGCCAGCACAGCUAGGCUAUAUUGACCCAUGCUAAUAUGUUUGCCAGCACAGCUAGGCUAUAUCGACCCAUGCUAAUAUGUUAACUAGCACAGCUAGGCUAUGUUGACCCAUGCUAAUAUGUUUGCUGGCACAGCAAGGCUAUGUUGACCCAUGCUAAUACAGUAUUUUUGCUAGCACAGCAAAGCUAUCCUGAACCAUGCUAACACAUUUACUGCACAGUUGGUCUGCCCAGCUAGGCUUUCCUGAGUCAUGCCAACUUAUUAGUUUACAGACUAUUCUGAUCCACUCAGUUAUGUAAACAUAUUAGCCUGCAAAGCUAGGCUUAUCUAAUUUACUAACUUGCUCAGCUAGGCUUAUCCUAGCCAUGCUUCACUAACUACUCUUCUCUUAGUGAAUGGGGGGUACGAUCUGAGGGCUGUGCCAAUGUUUCCAGUGAUUAGCUGAUUAGCAUGUUUCCAGUGAUUAGCUGAUUGAUUCCUAGCACAGAUCCUGUGUAAUGACAUUAUGUUUGGCGAGCCAUCCAGUAGUGGUUCUAAGCAUUCCUCUGACAGUUCUAAGCAUUCCUGUACUGUUCCCUGAGGUGCUCUGCUAGCGUGUGUGUGGAGUGGAGCGGCGGCGUGUGUCUCUGCAUUGGUUCGCGAGGUGUGUGUGUCGUUGGUGUGUUCCGUGCUUUUCCUCGAGCCUUUCUCCUUUUAUUUACAAUAAAAAGACAGUCAUUUCAAA